Triticum aestivum (bread wheat) is the source of this 944-nucleotide long non-coding RNA. RefSeq lists it as uncharacterized. The transcript has 3 exons. Lineage: Eukaryota; Viridiplantae; Streptophyta; Magnoliopsida; Poales; Poaceae. The record is from RefSeq and is a predicted model, not a curated record.
AUCGCGCAAUUAAAGGACGCAUCUGCAUGCAAUCCCAUCUAAUCAAUCUCCUCGAUCCAAAAUCCUGGAAUUUCUUAGCGCUAGACCCUACACAAAAAAGUCCCUGGAAACAAACACCCCCUCAGCCUCUCUAUUCUUGUUCCUCCUGGAGUCCUGGACAAUCUAGACCUAAACCUGCCACCGAUCCGUCAUCCGUGAUGGAGCCCAAGAGUUGGAAGGGCAUGUGAUCGAUCUGAACUACGAUCUCAGGAGUCAGACACUGUUGCCGUCAGUUGUCUGCCGGGCCGGUGGGAACUACAAUUGUGUUGCUCUCCUACCGCCUACCCUCACUUGGCGGCACCUAUGGUCGACAUCAGCGAGAGAAUAGGACCCCUACAAGCGUGUGAAGCCCUGCAGAUGCAGGGAGUUCGACCUAGAGGAUUGUGCCCGCGGGAGUCGAUCAUUUGCUGCUGCAAGGACAGAGCGUCGGUUCCUACGCCAUGUACGCCCCCGCUAGGAGAUCCCUUAUGACGCCCCGGUACGUUGUGUGCUCGCUACUGGUUUUUGCCAUCUUCGACCUUCUCCUCUGGUGCCGCCUUGGCCUUGGGCGACGACCAUCGCCUCCCAUCUGAGUCACUCCAGGACGAAUGGGUGCUUUAUGGUUGCAUUGCGGGCAUCCGCAUGCGUAGGAAGCCGGCUGCAGCGAGUUCAUCAGUAGCGUGCACGGUGCACCAGUCGUAUUGAUGACGAGUCAGAGAGUCGUGAGGAAGAUUUCCGGGAACAUAACAAUGUCCCUAUAGGUUCCAAGAAUGAGAAGAAAAUGCAAGAGAGAGGCGUGCAGUGUUAGGUUGCACUGCCGCGUUCUUUUAUCAUGGGAGCAGUAUUUGUACCGCUGAACCUGAAUGUCCCAAUGUAUUAUUGAUCGGCAGCAUGAAUGGGCUGAUCAGGCGAGGUUUGUCAUAAUA